CUGGUUGAUCCUGCCAGUAGUCAUAUGCUUGUCUCAAAGAUUAAGCCAUGCAUGUCUAAGUACAAGCCUGAAUAAGGUGAAACCGCGAAUGGCUCAUUAAGUCACACCUAAUGUACCGGAUAGUUCCAAUUACUUGGAUAACUGCGGUAAUUCUGGAGCUAAUACAUGCUUAAAGGCCUCGACUCAAGGAGGGGCGCAUUUAUUAGAUCAAAACCAAACCGCUUGCGGUUUUAUUGGUGAAUCUGAAUAACUCUAUGCUGAUCGUAUGGCUCAACGCCGACGACGUAUCCGUCCAAGGUGUGCCCUAUCAACUGUCGACUGUGGCAUAGACGCCCACAGUGGUUUUGACGGGUAACGGGGAAUUAGGGUUCGAUUCCGGAGAGGGAGCCUGAGAAACGGCUACCACUUCUAAGGAAGGCAGCAGGCACGCAAAUUACCCAAUGGUCGAAGACCGAGGUAGUGACGAAAAAUAACGAUACCGGUCUCUUCCGAGGCCCGGUAAUCGGAAUGAGUACACUUUAAAUCCUUUAACGAGGAACAAUUGGAGGGCAAGUCUGG
RNAcentral lists this ribosomal RNA (558 nucleotides) under uncultured eukaryote. RNAcentral's name for it is "SSU rRNA". It matches the Rfam family "Eukaryotic small subunit ribosomal RNA", at positions 4 to 564 of the family's 1831-position model. The record is from RNAcentral.